CGGAAUUACUGGGCGUAAAGGGCUCGUAGGCGGCCAACUAAGUCAGACGUGAAAUCCCUCGGCUUAACCGGGGAACUGCGUCUGAUACUGGAUGGCUUGAAUCCGGGAGAGGGAUGCGGAAUUCCAGGUGUAGCGGUGAAAUGCGUAGAUAUCUGGAGGAACACCGGUGGCGAAGGCGGCAUCCUGGACCGGCAUUGACGCUGAGGAGCGAAAGCCAGGGGAGCAAACGGG
RNAcentral lists this ribosomal RNA (231 nucleotides) under uncultured bacterium. RNAcentral describes it as "partial 16S ribosomal RNA". It matches the Rfam family "Bacterial small subunit ribosomal RNA", at positions 546 to 776 of the family's 1533-position model. The record is from RNAcentral.